Molecule: small RNA, 181 nt
Filed under: Chelonoidis abingdonii (Abingdon island giant tortoise)
Lineage: Eukaryota; Metazoa; Chordata; Testudines; Testudinidae
Description: TUC338 (ENSCABG00000009628.1)
Source: RNAcentral
GUGUAUGUCAGGAAGACUGAAGUCCUUUAUUUAUCAACUUAACAUGUACAGCAUGGGCAGCUGCAGCACAGGAUUACUCACGCUCUCCUACCUACAUGCUGCUACCCUGACUUAAUAGAGGGACAAUCUUUAUGAAUAAAAGGGUAGUUCAGGCUGCAUAUCAGUUUAAUGCUUGGAUUCU